UUUUAUUCUAGCUUGAAUUUUUAAUUUAUAAAUUAUUUUAUAUGUAAAUUUUAGUGUGAAUAAGUUAUUCUUUAAAUAAGAAUAAUUUACAAAGUUUGAGUUCGCAAUAUUGAAGAUUAAAAAUAAAAGAAAUUUUGAUUUAGGGAUUUAUAUUAGUAUUAACAAAAUUUGUGCCAGCAGUUGCGGUUACACAAAUAAUGCAAUUAAAUAGGUUUAGUUAAUAAUUAAUUUGUAUUUGUUGUUAGUUAUCAAUAAAAUUUAUUAGGUGAAAUUAUUAAUUUUUAUUUAGCUAUAGUAUAAAAAAUGAGGUUAUGAAAUUUUUAAAAUAGACUAGGAUUAGAUACCCUAUUAUUGAAAAUUUAAAUUAUUAUACUAGAGUAGUAGUAGUUAUGUUCUUGAAAUUCAAAGAAUCUGGCGGUAUUUUAGUCUAUUCAGAGGAACCUGUCCUGUAAUUGAUAAUCCACGAUUAAUUGUACUUAUUUUAAAGGUUUGUAUAUCGUCGUAGGUUGAAUGUUCUAAGAGGAUUAUUAAUGUUCAAUAUUUAUAAUUAUAAAUAAUAUCAGAUCAAGAUACAGCGUAUAGAUAAGAAGAGAUGGGUUACAAUAAAAGUAUUUAUAUGGUUAAUAUAUUUAAUAUUAUAUUAUAAAGUGGAUUUGAUAGUAAUAUAGUUUAUUUAAAUUAUAUGAUUUUAGCUCUAAAAUAUGCACAUAUCGCCCGUCGCUCCCAUUUUAAGAUGGGAUAAGUCGUAACAAAGUAGGCGUACUGGAAAGUGUGCCUAGCAAGG
This 784-nucleotide non-coding RNA is filed under the name Eudicella quadrimaculata. Lineage: Eukaryota; Metazoa; Arthropoda; Insecta; Coleoptera; Scarabaeidae. The record is from RNAcentral.